RNAcentral lists this ribosomal RNA (253 nucleotides) under uncultured prokaryote. RNAcentral's name for it is "partial 16S ribosomal RNA". It matches the Rfam family "Bacterial small subunit ribosomal RNA", at positions 524 to 776 of the family's 1533-position model. The record is from RNAcentral.
UACGUAGGGGGCAAGCGUUAUCCGGAAUCAUUGGGCGUAAAGCGCGUGUAGGCGGUCCAGUAAGUCCGCUCUGAAAGCCCAAGGCUCAACCUUGGGAGGCGGGUGGAUACUGUUGGACUAGAGUCCGGAAGAGGAGAUUGGAAUUCCUGGUGUAGCGGUGAAAUGCGCAGAUAUCAGGAGGAACACCGAUAGCGAAGGCAGAUCUCUGGGACGUGACUGACGCUGAGACGCGAAAGCGUGGGGAGCAAACAGG